UACGUAGGGUGCAAGCGUUGUUCGGAAUCACUGGGCGUAAAGCGCACGUAGGCGGGUUCGUAAGUCGAUUGUGAAAGCCCUAGGCUUAACCUGGGAACUGCAGUCGAUACUGCGAGUCUUGAGUGCUUGAGAGGGUGGUGGAAUUCCUGGUGUAGAAGUGAAAUUCGUAGAUACCAGGAGGAACACCCGAGGCGAAGGCGGCCACCUGGCAAGACACUGACGCUGAGGUGCGAAAGUGCGGGGAGCAAACAGGAUUAGAUACCCUGGUAGUCCGCACCGUAAACGAUGGAUACUAGAUGUUCGGGGCGUUAACCCCCUGAGUAUCAAAGCUAACGCAUUAAGUAUCCCGCCUGGGGAGUACGGUCGCAAGACUAAA
Molecule: ribosomal RNA, 376 nt
Filed under: uncultured bacterium
Lineage: Bacteria
Description: bacterial SSU rRNA
Rfam family: Bacterial small subunit ribosomal RNA
Source: RNAcentral